GCGAGCAAAGCGCAACGGUUGCGCAUCUCAGUGCCACUGAGAAGGCUGUGAGUUCGACUCUCACUGCUCGCU
Molecule: transfer RNA, 72 nt
Filed under: Anaerolineales bacterium
Lineage: Bacteria; Bacillati; Chloroflexota; Anaerolineae; Anaerolineales
Description: tRNA-Gly
Rfam family: tRNA
About the family: Transfer RNA (tRNA) molecules are approximately 80 nucleotides in length. Their secondary structure includes four short double-helical elements and three loops (D, anti-codon, and T loops). Further hydrogen bonds mediate the characteristic L-shaped molecular structure. tRNAs have two regions of fundamental functional importance: the anti-codon, which is responsible for specific mRNA codon recognition, and the 3' end, to which the tRNAs corresponding amino acid is attached (by aminoacyl-tRNA synthetases). tRNAs cope with the degeneracy of the genetic code in two manners: having more than one tRNA (with a specific anti-codon) for a particular amino acid; and 'wobble' base-pairing, i.e. permitting non-standard base-pairing at the 3rd anti-codon position.
Source: RNAcentral